This 484-nucleotide ribosomal RNA is filed under the name uncultured bacterium. RNAcentral describes it as "partial 16S ribosomal RNA". It matches the Rfam family "Bacterial small subunit ribosomal RNA", at positions 30 to 507 of the family's 1533-position model. The record is from RNAcentral.
AUUGAACGCUGGCGGCAUGCUUUACACAUGCAAGUCGAACGGCAGCGCGGGCUUCUUCCUCGCGUCGCGUUGCCAACGGGUGAGUAAUUCAUCCGAACGUGCCCAGCAGUUGGGGCUAGCCUGGCGAAAGCCGGAUUAAUACCGCACACGAUCUGAUGGUGAAAGCGGGGGAUCGAAAGUCCUCGCGCUUUUUGAGCGCACUUUGUCGGAUUAGCUAGUUGGUUAGGUAAAGGCUUACCAAGGCGACGAUCCGUAGCUGGUCUGAGAGGACGACCGGCCACACUGGAACUGAGACACGGUCCAGACUCCUACGGGAGGCAGCAGUGGGGAAUUUUGGACAAUGGGGGCAACCCUGACCCAGCAAUGCCGCGUGAGGGAAGAAGGCCUUCGGGUUGUAAACCGCUUUUGUUCGGGAAGAAAUACUCUGGGCUAAUACACCGAGGGGAUGACGGUACCGGAAGAAUAAGCAACGGCUAACUACGUG